Molecule: transfer RNA, 73 nt
Organism: Felis catus (domestic cat)
Lineage: Eukaryota; Metazoa; Chordata; Mammalia; Carnivora; Felidae
Rfam family: tRNA
About the family: Transfer RNA (tRNA) molecules are approximately 80 nucleotides in length. Their secondary structure includes four short double-helical elements and three loops (D, anti-codon, and T loops). Further hydrogen bonds mediate the characteristic L-shaped molecular structure. tRNAs have two regions of fundamental functional importance: the anti-codon, which is responsible for specific mRNA codon recognition, and the 3' end, to which the tRNAs corresponding amino acid is attached (by aminoacyl-tRNA synthetases). tRNAs cope with the degeneracy of the genetic code in two manners: having more than one tRNA (with a specific anti-codon) for a particular amino acid; and 'wobble' base-pairing, i.e. permitting non-standard base-pairing at the 3rd anti-codon position.
Source: Rfam
ACCUGGGUGGCUCAGUCAGUAGAGCAUCUGACUCAUGAUCUCAGGGCUGUGAGUUCAAGCCCCACAUUAGGCA